UGGCGGCCAUAGCGCGGUGGUCCCACCUGAUCCCAUGCCGAACUCAGAAGUGAAACGCCGUAGCGCCGAUGGUAGUGUGGGGGCUCCCCAUGCGAGAGUAGGACACUGCCAGGCA
This 115-nucleotide ribosomal RNA is filed under the name Yersinia pseudotuberculosis. The record is from RNAcentral. Lineage: Bacteria; Pseudomonadati; Pseudomonadota; Gammaproteobacteria; Enterobacterales; Yersiniaceae. RNAcentral also lists the same sequence under 1 other name.